AGCUUUGUGCAGUGGCAGUAUCGUAGGCAAUGAGGUUUAUCCGAGGCACGAUUAUUGCUAAUUGAAAGGUGAGAGGAUGCUUUGUCUUGCUGAUUCCUUGGUCUUGAGGUGAUCUUGGCAAUAUCACCAACCCUGUGGGU
Small nuclear RNA from Zalophus californianus (California sea lion), 140 nucleotides. Its record names the gene U4. It matches the Rfam family "U4 spliceosomal RNA". Rfam says of the family: U4 small nuclear RNA (U4 snRNA) is a component of the major U2-dependent spliceosome. The record is from Ensembl. Lineage: Eukaryota; Metazoa; Chordata; Mammalia; Carnivora; Otariidae.